RNAcentral lists this ribosomal RNA (114 nucleotides) under Cavia porcellus (domestic guinea pig). Lineage: Eukaryota; Metazoa; Chordata; Mammalia; Rodentia; Caviidae. The record is from RNAcentral.
GUCUACGGCCAUACCACCCUGAACGCACCCCAUCUCGUCUGAUCUCGGAAGCUAAGCAGGGUCAGGCCUGGUUAGUACUUAGAUGGGAGAUUGUUAAAAAUAAAUGAAUAAACU